Molecule: ribosomal RNA, 406 nt
Filed under: uncultured bacterium
Lineage: Bacteria
Description: partial 16S ribosomal RNA
Rfam family: Bacterial small subunit ribosomal RNA
Source: RNAcentral
AUUGAACGCUGGCGGCAGGCCUAACACAUGCAAGUCGAACGAGUGGCGGACGGGUGAGUAAUGUCUGGGAAACUGCCCGAUGGAGGGGGAUAACUACUGGAAACGGUAGCUAAUACCGCAUACCAUCGGAUGUGCCCCGAUGGGAUUAGCUUGUGGGUGAGGUAACGGCCCACCUAGGCAACGAUCCCUCGCUGGUUCGAGAGGUUGACCAGCCAAACUGGAACUGAGGCACGGUCCAGACGCCUACGGGAGGCAGCAGUGGGGAAUAUUGCACAAUGGGCGAAAGCCUGAUGCAGCCAUGCCGCGUGUAUGAAGAAGGCCUUCGGGUUGUAAAGUACUUUCAGCGGAGAGGCGUUACCCGAAGAAGAAGCACCGGCUAACUCCGUGCCAGCAGCCGCGGUAAUAC